GAUGAACGCUGGCGGCGUGCUUAACACAUGCAAGUCGAACGGAAAGGCCCAAGCUUGCUUGGGUACUCGAGUGGCGAACGGGUGAGUAACACGUGGGUGAUCUGCCCUGCACUUCGGGAUAAGCCUGGGAAACUGGGUCUAAUACCGGAUAGGACCACUUCUUGGAUGUUGUGGUGGAAAGUUUUUUCGGUGUGGGAUGAGCUCGCGGCCUAUCAGCUUGUUGGUGAGGUAAUGGCCUACCAAGGCGUCGACGGGUAGCCGGCCUGAGAGGGUGUACGGCCACAUUGGGACUGAGAGACGGCCCAGACUCCUACGGGAGGCAGCAGUGGGGAAGAUUGCACAAUGGGCGCAAGCCUGAUGCAGCGACGCCGCGUGGGGGAUGACGGCCUUCGGGUUGUAAACUCCUUUCGCUAGGGACGAAGCGUUUUGUGACGGUACCUGGAGAAGAAGCACCGGCUAACUACGUG
RNAcentral lists this ribosomal RNA (467 nucleotides) under uncultured bacterium. RNAcentral describes it as "partial 16S ribosomal RNA". It matches the Rfam family "Bacterial small subunit ribosomal RNA", at positions 28 to 507 of the family's 1533-position model. The record is from RNAcentral.